AUGUAGGAGAAACCUAAUUGGCUAUAACAUCUCUAUAGGUUCUUAUGCUACUAUUUUCCAGAGACCUGGUACUAAAUGACCUCCUUUGUGGAAAAAAGGACUCUCUGCAUGGCCUCUGAUCCAGUGGUCCAGUUUUGCUUCUUCCACGGUAGCUGGAACCAAAGAGGGAGGCUUCCAAGAAGGAGUAAUAAGAAGCUGACAGUCCUGAAAGGAGCUGGGUCAGAAACUGACAAGAUAUGUGUUCCUCCAUGUUCUAUCCGCCAAGAUAAUCCAUAAGGCCAGCCCAAAUUCAAGGGAAGAACCUCUACCUCUUGAAGGAAUGUGGCUAGUGUAAUCCACCAUUCUAUGGCCUGCCUUGGAUGUUAGACCACUCUUCUUCCUUUAAACAUCAGCUUCCUUAUACUGCAUCCUUUCAGGAAAAACCCAUGAUAAUUCCAUAAUAGAC
Long non-coding RNA from Bos taurus (domestic cattle), 445 nucleotides. Lineage: Eukaryota; Metazoa; Chordata; Mammalia; Artiodactyla; Bovidae. The record is from Ensembl.